GCCUGAUUUUAAAUUCUGCUAGUUGUACUCAGCACAUCCAUAAAAAUAAGCAGAGUUCUCUUUUUAAGGGGGCCACUGUUAAUUAGCCACGGCACCCAUUCAAGCACUUCAUCUAGUAAUAACGUGGUUAUGCCAUGCUGGGGAAGAGCGUAUGGUUCCACAUAUCCUUUUUAUGCCUACUCCUGUCAUGCUGAAAUUGGCUCCUUCACUCCGUAACUGUGCUUUAUGUAGGAGCUGAACAGGAAUAGCGUUGCUUGUGUUUAUACUUGCUGCCCUCCCCUGGAAGGCCAAUUCUUCCUUGUUCCUCCUUCCGGAGGUCAGUGCUCAAUCCUGAUUGGAGUAGACAUCCGAGUCCAUUUCCAUGAGCUGCGUGUUCUGUUUCUCUUUCUCUUUCCCCAUUAAGUGAUGCCCAGGAGUGCUUUCUGUGUCCUCUGUGUAACCCCUGUUGGCUUGCACUGAGUUCUUCAUGCAUCUGGGUGAAUAGCAGGAGUCUUGCUGCCCACCUUCCCAAGAAGAGGCUUCCAUUCUCCUCUCAUUCCCCCAUGACAGGCUUUUCCUGCCCAAGGAGGGGUUUAGACUGUGAUUCAGAAAGUCUCCUGCAUGCCACCAUGUACAAAGGCAGGCUCAGAGUGGAGAAGAGUCUUGUCUGAAGUCACCAAGUGCGUAAGCGGCAAUCACAGAACCAGAAACCAGGACUCCUCCUGCUCAUCAUGCCACCUUGCAGCUUCCUGGAGCUCCAGAUGCCUGGACCCUGAAAUGGUGUCACAGACUUCUGCUUGUGAUUUGCGGCUGAGACUUGGAGCUCCAGCUUUGGCUUCCAGAAUCUCUGAAUUGACAGAACUGGAAACCAGAAGACUGUGGAACAAUAUUUACCAACACUGAAAGAAAAGGGUUAUGAUCUAAGAAUUCUAUACCCAGUCAAGGUAGUGAUUAUCUCUCAGAGAAUUUUUGGACAUACAAAGCACCAGUGAAUAUGCUACUCACAUUCCACAUGCAAGGUCAAAAAUUGGAAAGGACGGUAAAGAUGACUGUAGCCCCCCCAUUAAUCAUACUGAUUUUUCCCUUUGUGAGUGUGUGUGUUCCCGUGUGAUAAGGACAGGGCAUCCUAAGAGUAGGGAAUGGAGAGAAUGUCAGGAAGUCUGUUAAACCGCUAGGUGGGCUCAGAAGGUUUUGAUGCUUAUUUGCAUUUAGAAAUAUUUACUGAAGAACUGAGUUGAUUAUAACAAACAUAAUCUCAGGCUUGUGUGAGGGGGCCACAGACAAACAAAUUUGGUUGUAGUGGAAUUUCCCAGUGGGAGAAACAAGACAUAGUGCUGGAACACCAGACGUUCCUUCCUGCGCACUUCCCCCCUAAGGUUGCCAGGCGUAGCAAAUCAAAAUACAGGAUACCCAGUUAAAAAUUGGAAAUGGGAGAAAAUUUUUGCAAUCUACCCAUCUGACAAAGGGCUAAUAUCCAGAAUCUACAAAGAACUCAAACAAAUUUACAAGAAAAAACCAAACAACCCCAUCAAAAAGUGAGCAAACGAUGUGAACAGACACUUUUCAAAAGAAGACAUUUAUGCAGCCACCAGACACAUGAAAAAAUGCUCAUCAUCACUGGUCAUCAGAGAAAUGCAAAUCAAAACCACAGUGAGAUACCAUCUCACACUAGUUAGAAUGGUGAUCAUUAAAAAGGCAGGAAACAACAGAUGCUGGAGGAUGUGGAGAAAUAGGAAUGCUUUUACACUGUUGGUGGGACUGUAAACAUUGUGGAAGACAGUGUGGCGAUUCCUCAAGGAUCUAGAACUAGAAAUACCAUUUGACCCAGUGAUCCCAUUACUGGGUAUGUACCCAAAGGAUUGUAAAUCAUACUACUAUAAAGACACAUGCACAUGUAUGUUUGCUGUGGCACUAUUCACAAUAGUAAAGACUUGGAACCAACCUAAAUGUCCAUCAAUGAUAGACCGGAUUAAGAAAAUGUGGUACAUAUAUACCAUGGAAUACUAUGCAGCCAUAAAAACGGAUGAGUUCAUGUCCUUUGGAGCGACAUGGAUGAAGCUGGAACCAUCAUUCUGAGCAAACUAUCACAAGGACAGAAAACCAAACACCGCAUGUUCUCACUCACAGGUGGGAAUUGAACAAUGAGACCACUUGGAGACAGGACGGGGAACAUAACACAUGGGGGCCUGUCUUGAGGAGGGGCAAGGGAAGGGAUAGCAUUAGGAGAAAUACCUAAUGUAAAUGACGAGCUAUUGGGUGCAGCACACCAACAUGGCACAUGUAUACAUAUGUAACAAACCUGCACGUUGUGCACAUGUACCCUAGAACUUAAAGUAUAAUAAUAAAAAAAAAUUGGAAUUUGAGGUAAACAAAAAAGUGUGUGUGUGUGUGUGUGUGUGUGUGUGUGUGUAUUACUAAUUAGUGCAUAAGCAUCCUAUAUUUUACCUGGCAACUUUAUUUUCACCUCAACCUGGAGCCACAGAGAACUAACUACAGUUCUUGGGGCGCUUGGGAUGUCAGCUAUAGAUAGAUUCUUAAUACUGCAGUUUCAAUGGGAAGGGAAAAAAAGAAAGCUUGAAGUGAAAGAUGGGGUCAGGGCCAGUGUGGGAACCAGAGGAAUGGUUUCUGAGCACCAGCUUGUCUUUCUCCCAUUUUAAAACAGAUUUGAAUUUGUACUUGCCUUUGUGGCAUUUAAAAUCUAAUUAUAAAGAUUGUGUGUGUGUUUGACGAUAAAGAACUAAGUUUCAUUGAGCAUUUAUCACAUAUCAGCCACUAUGCUAAGCACUUUAGCUCAUUUAUUCUUCAUAAUAAAGAUCCCCAUUUUAUAGAUGGGGAAAUUAAAGUGCAGAGAGUUUAAAUAACUUGCUUAAGGUCACACAGCCAGCAAGUGGCAGAGCCAGGACUUGAACCCAGGUUUGCCUGACCCUGGGAGCUGCACUUUUGCCCUCUCUGCCAUCCUACUCCACAAGCAAGUACAGCAAGCAAAAAAUAAAAACCAGGCAUGGUGCUUGCUGAUCCUGUUUGCAGGUUUCAGGGUGGUCAGGGUGGAAGAGAUUGACCAGGGAAGUCUUCUUGGAAAAAGAGAUCCAAAACUGGGUUCUCUCCAGUGGAUCUGAAUUUGGUUUGGGGAAAGGAGUGAGCAGUGAGAAUGUCAACCGGGACUAGUGGAAGGAGGGACCAGGUUGGGUGGUCAGUGAGGGUGGGGUUGGAUGGGUCGUGAGGCAAUGCCCCAACACGUCAGAGGAGACAGGAGGAGUUGAGUUGGCCUAGCAGAGACAGUAUUUGUGUCUAGUGUGGUACACAUAGGGACCAGGAGAGAGGUUCACCAUAGGCUGAAGAGGAGGGCACAUGAGUGGUGGGGGUGGGGGUGGAGUGGGCAGGUUGGAGCCAUGUUAAGGAGGUAUGUAGACAAGGCUUAGAGAUGGAACUCGAUGCAAUGUGGGGAAAGGCAGAUGGGAGGAUGACCACAGUGUCCCCGGCAGUACCUCCAAGGGGAGGGAACCUGGUAUACUGGCUUCGGUGGGGGCAAAAGGAAAGAGUCUUGCUGGCUACAGGGGGAACCUUGUUUCUGGGGUAAGUUGCUAUCCCCAGGAAAGGAGGGAACCAAUGGUGUCUCUUCCAGUGCAGGACACAGGCAGGUGGCCCUGAUUAGAAACAGGUCUGCACACCAGCCUCGGGAGUGUGCUUACAGCAGUGACAGGUAGCAACAAGGGGGUCUGUGUGCCUCACCAGCAGCCUGUGAGCAGAUCUUCCAGAGGGGCUUAUCCACCCCCAGGGUGGUGCAGAGCCCAUGCAGAGACCUAACACAGUGAAGUGCAGGCUUAGGGCUGGCUGCUUUUGACAACAGUGCAUUUAACUUUAUGCCUCUCAGGCGGUGCCUACCCCCCAUGCUGGCUUUACAUAAAAGCCACACAUCCUUCUAGAUCACCCAGGACUAUGGGCCAGGUGCUGUCCCCAACACUGAUUGUGGGCAAGCCAAGCUAUUGCCAUGCAGGGCUGCUGAAAUAAAAUGUGUGACUGUGUUCCAAGACACCUUAAUUGUUUAUUAAUUACUCCAUAAAUCAUAGUGACACCUGUGUUUGUGCUCCUGUUAAUUCGCUCUCACAUGGUGGGGGAUGGAAGUACAACAUACUUUCUUGAGAAGUGCAUGGGCCAAAGAAUAACUGGGUCUUGGCUGUGGGACGGAAGUACCUGAAUUGGGAGGGGGACACCAGGGCUUCUCCUUCAUUAGUCAGCCCCAACUGCAUUCGUGUCCACCCCUGGCCAAGACCACGGCUGGAGCCUUGACAGGGUAUGGGUAGGGUGAGGUGCUCUACCUCCUCCAUUUGAUUUCAUCUUCCCAGAAGCUGGUAAAGAGAGGAGUUGUAUUCAUUUUAUAAGGGAGAAAACAAGGCUCAGAGAUUUCAUGCAAGUCCCAAGGUCACACAACCAAUUAAAUGCAGACUUUGAACAUGAAUUUGCUUGACUUCAAAUGAUGUAACCCUCAUGGAAGAGGCAGCCUGGGGAGGAGGGAGCUUUCCUGUUAAUCCCUGAUACCUCAUAUGUAUCUUUCAGAUUUGUCCAUGGGAAGGCAAUCUGUUUAAAUGUUAAUAUCCCUCAUAUGUCUUAAGGAUCAUAUCUAAAAGGGAAACAGAAUUCAUGCAGAGUGCUUUAGCUGGGUGCCAGCGCUGGAGUCCCCCUCUAACUGACCUCCAUUCCAGACAGUCAGCUGUCCCC
This is a long non-coding RNA of Papio anubis (olive baboon), 4695 nucleotides long. NCBI's taxonomy places the organism in Eukaryota, Metazoa, Chordata, Mammalia, Primates, Cercopithecidae. The record is from Ensembl.